RNAcentral lists this ribosomal RNA (2286 nucleotides) under Triticum aestivum (bread wheat). RNAcentral's name for it is "partial small subunit ribosomal RNA". Lineage: Eukaryota; Viridiplantae; Streptophyta; Magnoliopsida; Poales; Poaceae. The record is from RNAcentral.
CUAGCUCGUCUCGCCGUUCCCCCCAACACCGCCCUUCGUUCCGUCGUGUGACUCUCACUCCGCUCCCGACAUGGCAAAAAAGACCCCCAGCCCUCCGCCGAGGGCAAGAUCUCGCCGGGGCGCGGCGCCGACGUCGCCAACCCCAGCCGCCGCUCUGAGCCCUCCUUUCUCCCCUGCCCCGCUGCGCACCCGCCUUGGCGCUGCUGCUGUUGCUGCGGCGGCGGCCGCCGCCGCCGCCGCCUCCUCAUCCCCCGUCGAGCACCCAUGCGUCACGCUGUGUGAAUGGUGGCCGGUGAGGGUGGAAGGGGAAGAGCGGAAGCUUGCUGUUUCCGGCUUCACUGAAAGGAAUGACGCAUUCACUUCUGCACCCAUAGCACAUCGUUAUGAGCCUCUCACUCUCCAGGAUGAAGGUGGGGUUGUGGUGCUCCUUCAUGGUUCAAUUAACUUAUUGCGAAUGCGUGAAAAUGGAUUUUCUGUGCAGAUAUGCGAACAAUUCAUGAUUGGAUUUCCGUUCUGGUGGGAGACUUGGGAUUCGCACAUGGAGUCUUACCCAAACUGUUUUAUUGAUCCACGAGAGGGUUCAGCUCAGUUUUACCUGGAGAAAUUCCAGCUAGGCAAUUUUAUUCAAAAGUUUGGACCCUCGUUCAUCGAGGACCUUCUUAAUAAUGCUAAAAAUUUCCCAAUCGACCAUCUUGAUGCAUUCACAGAGAGUUCAAGAUUCCAGGAAUACAUCUGUGGAAAUGAUGCUUCAACCAAGGAAAAUUCUGCUGCUUCAGAUGAUGCCAGACCCGCAACUGUAGCUAAUGUGGAAAUAGGCUUGACUGCGAGCAGCAUUUCACAAGAAAGAGAUCAUGUGGACAUUGAGUGUAAUGUAUCUCUUGCUCCUGCAGAAACAUAUACUGGUGAUGAAACUUGCAAAGAGGCAGGAAAUCAGAAUGACACUAUGCAUCCAGAUGCAAGGGAAGAAGAUGCUGGUAGCCAUCUUUUCAACUCCGAUUGGACUUGCACUAUGUGCCCUGAUCAUAUGCCCAAUGACUCGGAAGGUGGAAAUGCCACCAGUGCUGAAAAUGCCACCAUGUCCCCUGAUAAUAUGCCCAACGACUCGGAAGGUGGAAAUGUCACCAGUGCUAAAAAUGCCACCAUGUCCCCUGAUCAUAUGUCCCCUGAUAAUAUGCCCAAUGACUCGGAAGGUGGAAAUGCCACCGGUGCUGAAAACUCAGUAGAACUGCUGGCUAAAUAUCCUUUAGCCAUAGUACCGCCUGAAAAUGCUAAUUGCUGCUCAGAGAUUCCUGGUGCUUCUCAAAGUGUUGAACCCUCAAGUUAUCAAAGUACUCCAGUGGCCUCAUUGAAGAAUCAACACUGCUUGGAAACAACUGAGCACAUCACAUUGACUCAGAAGGCAGUAUCAAAUGAAGAUACACCAUCUUCAAUUCACUCAGAUGUGCAAUCUCAGGAAAAAACUGUAGGUUCAGCAGAGAAGCGAAGAUCUGCAAAGCAAGUGUUGGAGCGUCCUACUAGAUCGCCAAUGACCAGAACUUCAGCUCCAUAUGGGCAUAAAUCUCGGCUUACUCGUUCUAGGGCCCAGUCAUUAUCUAUUUCCACACCCGAGUGUCUCAAAAUGAGAAGAACCAAAUCAGGACGAGUGGUAGUACCCCAAUUGGAUCCAGGAAGCAGUAGGAUUGUCUAUGACAACAAUGGGUUGAUUUCAGGCGUCGCUCCUGUGACUGGGAACAAGUCAGUGAAACCUGCAAGGAAGACAAGGGGGCCUCUCUGAGUGACCUCUUGGACUGUCCAGAAGCUAACAACCUGGAAUUUCGACAUGGAAGUCCCAAGGCACCGGCACCAGCACCAAGCGGUCGGCGGCAGUACUUGUACAAUGGGAGAUGCUUAGUGAGGUGCUUAGAAAAAUAAACUGAUUUUUUUUAAAGCACUGAUGCCUAUUUCUACAGGAGAAACGCUUAGUUAAGCGUCUAUCCUGUACAAAUAAGCACCGGUGCCUAAGGAAAGCCUGGUUUAUUUCUCUAAGCAUCCUCCCUAAGCACCUGCAUUGUACGAGGCCUUAGAUCCACUUGUUUGUACGGUGGAACAUCUCUGCUGGAUAUUUGCUGAUUAGAACCUUGUAACAGCAGAUGUGGGCAGCUUUUAUUUCCAUUUUGUGUGUCCCAUGCCCUAACUAACUAAAUCUUACUGGAGUGCCACAAACAUGGCAUGUCUUGCUCUUAACUAGUACUCCCUCUGUAAACUAAUAUAAAGUGAUCUAAACGCUCUUAUAUUAGUUUAUGGAGG